ACCCUUACUUCAUGGACAUCAAAUGUUCAGGAUGCUACAAGAUCAAUACCGCGUUCAGCCAUGCCCAGACCGUGGUGCAGUGCGUCGCUUGCAGCACAGUUC
Nanorana parkeri is the source of this 102-nucleotide long non-coding RNA. RefSeq lists it as uncharacterized. NCBI's taxonomy places the organism in Eukaryota, Metazoa, Chordata, Amphibia, Anura, Dicroglossidae. The transcript has 3 exons. The record is from RefSeq and is a predicted model, not a curated record.